Non-coding RNA from Oryctolagus cuniculus (rabbit), 8918 nucleotides. The record is from RefSeq and is a predicted model, not a curated record. NCBI's taxonomy places the organism in Eukaryota, Metazoa, Chordata, Mammalia, Lagomorpha, Leporidae.
CCGCCCCGCAUUUUGUGCUGGCCCCGCCCCCUCGCUGGGGUCUCCCGGCCUCCACCCUUUUCUUCCUGGAGCCUCGGGUCCUCAGCCGGGUCCCCCGGUUCUUUCUCACUUCCCGCCAGGUCCUGCGACGGCGGCCGUCUGCCCGGGCCGCGGCCUGCGCCCGCCUAGGUCCCUCCCCCCCGCCCCGGUUCCGCUGCAUUGCACUUGACCCCCGCUGCCCGCGCGCCCACCCGGCCGCGGCGCGGGCUCCGCCGUUCCUCCCGCUGUGUCCUCGCCCGGCGGCGGCUCGGGGGGCGCGGGGGCGUGGACGCCUCCCUCCGUCGCCGGCCCCCGGCGUCUGUCCGCACCCUGCGGGGCUUCCCGGACCCCGGCCCUGCGGAGUGGGGUCCCCGCCGGCGUGGGCCCGCGGGUCUCUGUGCGAGGACCCCCGGGUCGGGGCUCAGGGGUCGGAACGCCCGCUUUUGAGGCCCAGCUGUCGUCGGUCAAAUCCGCGAAAACGACAAUGGGUGAUUUUUCUUCCCCCCUCAAAAGUCAGUUUUACUUUGAAAAGUUCAGAGUGGUUGGCACUAGCCCUCUUUCUGGUUUGAGUUUAGAACCAUUCGCACAGCGGCGUAAGAUCAGGGAACGGUUAGGCCCAACGCUGACCCUGGCUCUGUGGACAAGCAGGUGCACCCGCCGGCGCGGGGGGCGAGAGGGAGCACCUGUCCCGCGUGGAGGCAGCGCGCACCUUGCCACCUCGGUGGUGGCAGACAGUCGCAGUCCCUGGCCACUCCCGCUUGGUUCUGGUCUGCAACGUGAUCUGCCAUUGGCAUCGCAGUGGUUCGUUCUGUUAAACAGCAGAGGGAUUGAUUUGGGGAGUUGGGUGGAGAUGGUGUUUCAGAGGCAGGUGUGUCAGGUGCGCGUGUGUGAAUCCGGCCGGGCCGGGACCCUGGUUUCUCCUCCCAGGCUGUGGCUGGGCUCAGGAACGAGGCGUGCCACGUACAGACGUGCUCCGGGGCGGCGUUGGUGGGUGGGGGCUCUCGGGAACACCGGGUGUCCAGCGGUUUGAGUGUGGUCUCCCUCGCAGCAGAAGGGUGUAGUGGUGCUGGUCAUCUUCCUAGCCUUACCUUGGGUGGAAAUGCUGGAACUUGGUGUUUAGUUGAAGAUGGAAUAGAUUUUGGUCUGGUCUUUAUGGUUUUCAGGGGAAUUUGAAAUCUUGCUAAUGGCAUUUGUGGAUAACAAUGAUCUUUCAAAGAGUUGAGUAAUUAAGUUAUGGGUUUCAAAGAUCUCAUUUCCGUGUUUGAUAUUUGAACAUAAUGACUUUUCACAAUGGAGGGUAUUCUAACCAGUCUGCGAGUGCCACACAGAGUGCAAUUCAUUGGAAAGACAAGGAAGACGCUGGAACUAGAAGGGAGCAUUUGGAACGGUUGGGCCCACAGCCGUAUCUGGUGGUGACUAGAGCCUUGGACUCCGAGCGGGGGAAUGUGUGGUCGGAGACAGGGAACACUUUCACCUCCCUGGGCCCGCGAGAGUCCGGCCAUUGGGACGUCCUUCAUCUGCUUUUCACAGGCUCUGUCAGUCUGUCUACUGAUUUUUUUUUUUUUUUUUUGAGAGGCAGAGUGGACAGUGAGAGAGAGAGAGACAGAGAGAAAGGUCUUCCUUUGCCGUUGGUUCACCCUCCCAUGGCCGCCGCGGCCGGCGCACUGCGGCCGGCGCACCGCGCUGAUCCGAUGGCAGGAGCCAGGAGCCAGGAGCCAGGUGCUUUUCCUGGUCUCCCAUGGGGUGCAGGGCCCAAGCACCCGGGCCAUCCUCCACUGCACUCCCUGGCCACAGCAGAGAGCUGGCCUGGAAGAGGGGCAACCGGGACAGAAUCCGGCGCCCCAACCGGGACUAGAACCCGGUGUGCCGGCGCCGCAAGGCGGAGGAUUAGCCUAGUGAACCACAGCGCCGGCCUAGUCUGUCUACUGAUUUCACGUCGUGGUUGGGCAUGUAUCCUUUCUGUUCGCAAUCCUGGUAUUCAGAAAUCCGUGUUCCAGCAUGGCACUUGAGUCUGAUUUAUGCCUCCCAUUCAUAUUAUGUAUUGUUUAUGAGUGUUUUUUCCUGUGGGACUUUUUUUUAACAACAAAAAACACUUGUGGGUAAUAUGCUGAACUGCUCUGGAAAUCUGGUCUAGACAGAAGAAUGUCCUUUUUAAAAAUGGAAAUAAAAAUGUUUGUUUUCAUCCCCCUUGAAAAGUGGAGAGGAAGGGAGUGAGAGAGGGAGAGAUGGCGCUGAUGCACUUUCCCCAGUGCCUGCAACAGCUCGGGAUGGGCCAGGCUGAAGCCUGGAGCCGCCUCCCCAGCAGGGGCCCGGCUGCCUCCCAGGAUGAAUGAGCAGGGAGUUGGGGUGGAAGUGGAGUGGCCCAGACUUGAACUGGCGCUCUGAUGCAGGAUUCGGGGGCAGAAGCAGCACUUAAACCUCCGAGCCACAAUGCCAGCCACUGUUUGAGUCUUUAUAUUUGAAAUCAUGUUAUUUUGGGGCUGGCAUUGUUGUGUAGUGGGUAGGGCUGCGGCCCUCGACUCUGGCAUCCUAUGUGGGCACUGGGUUGAGUCCCUGCUGCUCCACUUCUGAUGCAGCUCUCUGCUCAUGGCCUGGGAAGAGCAGUGGAAGAUGGCCCAUGUGUUUGGGCCCCUGAUACUCACGUGGGAGACCCAGAUGAAGCUCCAGGCUCCUGGCUUCAGCCUGGCCUGUGCUGGCCGUUGCGGCCAACUGGGGAGUGGACCAGUGGAUGAAAGACCUCUAUGUCGUUCCCUCUUUCUAUAACUCUUUCAAAAAAUAAAUAAAUCUUUAAAAGAUAAUGUUAUUCAAUGAGUGCUAUUGUGAUAUUUUAGUAGGAAAAUAGCUUUUAAGUGGUUUCUGUAGGCUUAGGGGCAAAAUAUGUGCAAAAUCCAGUGUCUUAGAGCAUUAUUUUGGAGCCGUUUUAGAGUUCACUGGCAAAUCGGAUAUUUUGGAAACAUUUUGAUGUAAAAUUUGAGCAAGAUUUGCAAAAACUUCUCACAUGGUAUAGAGGUGAAUUUCAGUUAACAUUAUUUAGGCCAUUUUGGGCAAAAGAACGGGAUUCAGAGCCCUAAGGGUUCCACAGUGCUCUUCAGGAAAAUGAAAUUCUAUUCUGUGCAGCAGCCAGGUGAAACACCACGUGCUUUCCUGCCUGGAAAUGCUCGCUGGCCUGGUAUCUUUGGAGCGUGACUGUGUAUUGCGAAGAGAAGAAUUCACAUCCACGUAGAGAGAAAGCAGGAGACCUUCCUUGAUAGCACAUGGAGAUGUGCGGCUGUCUUGGAAGUUAGCACAAGCUGUGUCACACCGCCUUGUGUCUCGGCUUUGCUGCUAACAAACAUGGGAGAGAAAUGGUGUUAAUAAUGGCUAUUUUUAAUUGAUCAGUAACAAGUGAUCAAACAGUUGAUUCAAAGAUUUAAGUUUCUCUUAAAGAUUAAGAGGCCAAGUGCCGUGGCUCACUGGUUGAUCCUCUGCCUGCGGCGCCGGCAUCCCAUGUGGGCUCCGGGUUCUAGUCCUGGUUGCUCCUCUUCCAGGCCAGCUCUCUGCUGUGGCCCGGGAGGGCAGUGGAGGAUGGCCCAACUCCUUGGGCCCUGCACCCACAUGGGAGACCGUGAGAAGCACCUGGCUCCUGGCUUCAGAUCGGUGUAGCACCGGCCAUAGCAGCUAUUUGGGGAGUGAACCAAUGGAAAGAAGACCUUUCUCUCUCUCUCUCUCUCUCUCUCUCUCUCUCUCUAACUCUACCUGUCAAAUUAAAAAAAAAAAUUUUAAGAAAAUGUUCUGACUUUGUUGAUUUGUAUCAAUAAAAACAUUAAGGAAGGCAGAACUUUGUAAGGUUUAUUUAUUUAUAUCAGAAUUAGGGAGAGAGAGAGGAAGAGAGAGAGGAAGAGAAAGGAAUCUUUGGUCCACGGUUCACUUCUCAGAUGGCUGUCAGGAGCUUCAUCCAGGUCUCCCACAUAGAUGCAGAGGCCCAAGGACUCGGGCCAUCUGCUGCUGCUCUCCCAGGUGCAUCAGCAGGGAGCUGGAUCGAAAGUGGAGCAGCCUGUACCCCAGCUGGUGCCCAGAUGGGAUGGCAGCGCUGUAGGGGUAGCUUAACCCGAUGGGCCACAGUGCCAGCCCCCAGGCAGAACUGCUGUUUCAACAACUGUAACCUGGUUGCUGGGGUGAGGUGGAGUAGUGAUUAGUUGAUAGCCAGUGGGUAUGACAGUUUUCUUAAGGCCCUCGUUAAAUGUAGGAGGGCACAGCCUAGGUACGUCUUGAACCAGAUUAUCUAAAGAUGUAGGAUGGGUUAGUUCUGCUUCCUGGCCCUCUGGCUAAGAUCAAGUGUAGGAUGGGUUAGUUCCAACACUGUGGCAAACCUCAAGUUGCAGUUUUAUACUUUCAAAGGAAUCACAUUCUGCCCAGUGCCAGUGCAGGUUCUAUCAGCGAUUUUGUUAUUUGAUCACAUUUCUGUUGUCUUUAAAAAAAAAAAAAAAAAAAAACAAAAACAAAAACACCUUUCCACCCUCAAAAUCCUUUUCUCCUUGUAAUCUUAUUGACCCGCCUAAGUGACUUGAAACAUUAAAUUUUUUUUAAGAUUCACUUAUUUAUUUAAAAGUCAGAGUUACACAGAUAUAAGGAGAGGCAGAGAGAGAGAGGUCUUAUAUCCGCUGGUUCACUCUCCAAUUGGCUGCAGUGGCCAGAGCUGCACCGAUCUGAAGCCAGGAGCCAGGAGCUUCCUCUGGGUCUCCUGUGUGGGUGCAGGGGCCCAAGAACUUGGGUCAUUCUCUGCUGCUUUCCCAGGUCAUAGCAGAGAGCUAUGGAUUGGAAGUGGAGCAGCUGGAACUCUGUGCCCAUAUGGGAUGCCGGCACUGCAGGCAGUGGCUUCACCCACUACACCACAGCCCAGCCCCAAAACAUGAAAUCUCUCAUAGACUUUAUUCCAUAUGUGUUUUCAAAGUAGUUGUGAUGCAUCAGACCAGAAUUUUUUGCUCUAACAGUUCAGAACGCCAUUAUUUGUAACUAAGAAAGUUGGUUUUUUUUUUUUUUUAAUUUGACAGAGUUAGACAGUGAAAGAGAGAGAGAGAGACAAAGGUCUUCCUUCUGUUGGUUCACUCCCCAAAUGGCCGCCACGGCCGGUGCUGCGCUGAUCUGAAGCCAGGAGCCAGGUGCUUUUCCUGGUCUCCCAUGCAGGUGCAGGGCCCAAGGAGUUGGGCCAUCCUCCACUGCACUCCUGGGCCACAGCAGAGAGCUGGCCUGGAAGAGGGGAAACCGGGACUAGAACCCGGCGCCCAUAUGGGCUGCCAGCACUGCAGGUGGAGGGUUAACCAAGUGAGCCACGGCGCCGGCCCCAGGAAGUUGGUUCUGAAUCUCAGGUUUUUCUUUCUCUUCUACAGAUGUUCGUUUUCUUGGUUUGGUUGAGGGGAAGUUCUGGAGGCCGGGUUACUGGUGAGGUAUUUUCUCAUGAAUUAAGAAAAAAAGAAAGAAGUAAGGAAACACUGACCCAUAAUAUUUCAACAUCAACCCAAUGAUCCGGGUAAUUGGCCUGGCUGUUUUGUAACACUGUUAUGAGUACUGGCCAAACAGCACAUUUUAUUGUGCGGUUCGGAAAGUUCAGAUGGAUGAAGAAUUUUGAUAUCGUUACAUUGCCCUGAUUAUCUAGCGGAGAAAGGCUUUAAGGGCUCUUAAUUUAGGAUUCAAAUAUUUGUAAUCUCAAAACCGUUUUAGAAGUUAAGUGUUUUUGAGCAAAUAAGGAAUGUGAAGAAUCUGGCUUUGUCCCUGACUUACAUGACUGCUUUGCUUGCUGUUUUUGAGUGAAUUUCCUAGAGAAAGCUCCCAACUUGGAAUGGCCUGUGAUCCCAGGCACACUCUGGGAGGCCCUUCCCGCUCCGACAGAGCCAGCGGAGCCGUGUUUAAAAACAAAGGCGCCUCGUGUGCGGAUGGGGCACAUCCUCUUCAAAUGGUAGAGUUAGGAUUGUGUCUCCAGAUGCAGUUGAAUCCAUUUAAAUAUUUAAACUAAGUGGAAUGUUGUUCCCACAUUUCUGGAUUUCAUUGUUUGAAACAAGGCUUGAGUGACGCACAAUCAGUGCCCCUGGUGCUGCACCCCCCUCUGCCCUUCCAGCGGCCUGCACCUCGGCAGACAGGAAUUCUAAUUGGCUGAGGAAUGUCGGCCACGCCGGGGCCCUGAGCCUGAACCUACUCCGCUGCCUGCUGGGAGAUGCGUCUCCGAUGUCUGCAGCUCGCAGCUUGCUCUCCGGAUGCCCGCAGUUGACGCUGUCGUAGACGGCAGCCUGCUUCCUCCUUUGUAUGCUGUGCGGCCGCUGGGCUGUCUGAAGCCUUGGUGCUUUCCCGGGGCGCAGAUGCUGGAGUAGGAAUCAGAAGGUCUGACUUUCAUUUCUCACCACAGAAGCAACCUCAGGGAAGAAAGGCGGAGGCUGUGCGUAGAAUCGCGAUCUGUGCACGACUCUGCCUUCCUGGCUGUACUGGGAGAUACCUGCUUGCUUUUGUACUGCCCAAGACCUGAUGAAGAUGGAUUCAGUAUUUUAAUGAGUGCUUAUGAAUUAUUUAUAGACUAGCAUGCUGGAAGUACAGAGUGAUGGGUUGCUGUUAUUUCUUAGCCUACGUAACCAUGUAAAUGAUAAAGCUACUUGUGCUGUACGUUGACAUGGGAGAAAAUCCAUGGAACCGACUGCUGAUCCUGGCACAGUAGUGCUCAGGAAUGGAUUGUCACAUUCUCUGUGAGCGCAGAGACCUUCCUGAGAGAACUAGUGUUGCAAACCGAAGCCGGCCUCCUCUUCAAGGGGGAAGCCUUGGCGGCCUUCCUGCUCAAACCUGGAGCCGUCAGGGAUGCACACAGUCACGUAAGACGUCAGAGUGCGGGCGGCCACCCUGCUGCUGUUCACGGCGAGGUGACGGUGUCGCUAUCUGCACGGAGUGAAGAGCGGCUGAAAACGCUUGCAGACAGUAAAGCACUUAGUAAAGUAGCUGGAUAGAAAAUUUCUUCUUGUAAAAAUAGGAUAAAAUCAAUGUGCAGUCGCAGGCUAGGGAAAGCAGUUUUAAUCGAUGUGAAAAUGAAAGUCUGGUUUUCUUUUUUUUUUUUUUAAGAUUUAUUUAUUUAUUUGAAAAUCAGACUUACUCUGAAAGAAAAGGAGAGGCAGAGAGAGAGAGAAUCUUCCAUCCGCUGGUUCACUCCCCAGUUGGCCACAGCGGCCAGUGCUGAUCAGGAGCCAGGAGCUUCUUGUGGGUCUUCCACGUGGGUGCAGGGGCCCAAGGACUAGGGCCAUCUUCUGCUGCUUUCCCAGGCCACAGCAGAGAGCGGGAUCGGAAGUGGAGCAGCUGGGACUCGAACUGGUGCCCAUAUGGGAUGCAGACACUGCAGGCAGUGGCUUUACCCGCUAUGCCACAGCGCCAGCUCCAGCCUGAUUUUCUUAACAUACGAAGAGCUUUCAAAAUUAAUUUUAGAAGACCAGUAACCUAGUAGGCAAAGAAUAGGGGCAAGUCACAGAAAAGAAAACAAAAAUGGAUUUUUAAAUAUGUGAAAAGACACAGUUCUAUUUCCCCUUACAUAUCCAUUUUCUUUCCUUUAUUUGAAAUUGACAAUCAGCCCUACUUGAACUAAAUAAAAUACAAGUCAGAACUCAGGAUGAAACACUUCUUCAUCUCUCAGAUGGGCAGACCAAAGAGUUCUGAAACCAUUGAGCGCUCACCAGGGAGUGGCUGAGCAGGGGCUCUCGGGAACGUAGAUGGCGCAGUAGCGGCAGUAGCCAGCGAUGGAGGGCAGUUCUUGUUAUUUCUAAAGGAAGAUACGUACCGAGGCCAUCCACGCUCGCUGUACUCACUGUUGCGUGUGGUGCGGGAUCACGGGUAUCUUGGAAUGGAGAGAGAGGCCAGUCCUCACUCCCAGGAGCCCCGCAGCACACAGGGAAGUGGCAUUCAGUAGGAGCAGUUACAUGACAACAGAAGUGCAGGCAGGAAUUGUGCUAAGCACUCGUCCUGAGCUGUAUUUGCCCUGCUCCAGGAACUCACGGAUGGACCACAGCCUUGUCCGUGUUUUGGAGACGUACACUGGAGGCAGACAGCCCAGUUCUGCCACAUACCGGCAGCCUUGGCCAUAUCCUGGCUUCAUCUUCAGCCUCAGACCAUCCCUGUGUGGCCGGGCUGUUGCAAGGGACCGGUGAAGUCACUCAGCACCCACCUGCUGCCAGCACAGGGCAGGGACCAGCUAGCCUCAGGCUUCACUGAGAGUCUGCUCUGAGCUGCCUUGGGACGUUCUGUGUCUUCUUUGCACGUCGAUGGAAAGAGAGAAUCUAGUUUCUGAAUCCAGUUCUCGACUCCAGAUCUAAGUGCUCAGCACCAUUCAGUUGGGAGCACCCGCGUUGGGGCCUCCUUCCAGGAAGGUGACAGCUUGAGGGUGGUUGCACGCAGGGGAAGUGGCUCCCGCCUUCUUGGGACACAGAUGAAUAACAAUGUAACAGCGAAAGAGGACUUCUGUUCUGCAGAUGUCUGCCUCCACCUGCUCUCACCAACCUGGAUAUUUAUUUUUCUUGCCAUCUACAGCUUGGCCUACACCCCCUAUUGAUUAUUUGCUAAAGAUCAGAAUAAACAUUGCCUUCUUACUUAUUGCAUGUAUAUUUUCCAACUCUGCGGAACAAAUGCGUGGUUUUGGUACUUGCUGAAGUCUGAAGGCUCUGGUGUACCCCUGGGCUGUUGCUGUUUGGCCUUGACACCAUCCUUGUCUGUGCAAGCACUUUGCUGUAUGUUCACUGUGGGAGACGGAGCAUCUGUGGUUUUACGUCAUCAGUCUUUGAACUCAUGAAGUUCAAGGUUCAAGUUUAGGCAAGAAUUUGUGAGAGUAGGGACCUGUGGGUCCUAGAGACCUUUGAGCGGCAUCCCACUGCGAUACCGGUGGUUGUGCAAGACACGAGAAACAA